Molecule: non-coding RNA, 213 nt
Organism: Vicia faba (fava bean)
Lineage: Eukaryota; Viridiplantae; Streptophyta; Magnoliopsida; Fabales; Fabaceae
Source: the annotation of a GenBank genome assembly
AUGCGAGCCAAUCGCUUGGAUAAAAAAUAUAUCACAAACAUAGAAGAUGUUAUCAAUAGAGGGGCCGGUUCCACUUACAGCUCGGCAGAUAUAUUGCUUCUGUUAGAGAAAUUGCAAGAAGACAAUAGAUUGAUCAUAGUUCUGAGAGGGUGUUUUAGUGUUGUGGGAGCUCAACCAACAAUGAAAAUUGUUGCAAAAGAUGAUAAGCUGUGA